UGCCAGCAGCCGCGGUAAGACGAAGGUGGCGAGCGUUAUUCGGAUUCACUGGGCAUAAAGCGCGCGUAGGCGGCUCGGUCAGUCGGAGGUGAAAGCCCACAGCUUAACUGUGGAACUGCCCCCGAUACUGCCGAGCUUGAGUGCAGGAGGGGUGACUGGAACUCCAGGUGUAGCGGUGAAAUGCGUAGAGAUCUGGAGGAACACCAGAGGCGAAGGCGGGUCACUGGACUGCAACUGACGCUGAGGUGCGAAAGCGUGGGGAGCAAACAGGAUUAGAUA
This 279-nucleotide ribosomal RNA is filed under the name uncultured bacterium. RNAcentral's name for it is "partial 16S ribosomal RNA". It matches the Rfam family "Bacterial small subunit ribosomal RNA", at positions 506 to 784 of the family's 1533-position model. The record is from RNAcentral.